Diorhabda carinulata is the source of this 5253-nucleotide RNA transcript. RefSeq lists it as uncharacterized. The transcript has 3 exons. NCBI's taxonomy places the organism in Eukaryota, Metazoa, Arthropoda, Insecta, Coleoptera, Chrysomelidae. The record is from RefSeq and is a predicted model, not a curated record.
GCGAAGUAAGCACUUUUCCACAUCAUUACAUCAGUUGACAUCGGAGCCAAGAUGGCUUUACGAGUUGUCAGUAUAUUUCAAGGCGGAACUUGAAAUGUUUGAAAAAUUCGAUGUUCUAGUUUAUUGAGUACAAAAAUAAUAUUUAUACAUUAUAUAUAUAUAUAUAUAUAUAUAUAUAUAUAUAUAUAUAUAUAUAUAUAUAUAUAUAUAUAUAUAUAUAAUACAUUUACUGAGUAUGGAUUUUCAGUUCUCUGGUUUUUAGUUCUUUUAAUAUUGGCAACGCUAGUCGCUAAUCACUAAUGUCAUUGAUAGACCAAUAACAAAUAGACGCCAUUAAAUUUAUUUGUUUGGAGAUUUUAAAUUUAUUGUAUCUAAAAAAUUGUAAAUAAUGGGAGAUAAGCCACAAAAAAAUCCAGGAAUUAGAUUGCGUAGGGCCGCAAGUGAUUGGACACAUAACAGAACUACUGGGACCAUAAGAAAUGACUUCAGAAGAAAUUUUCUCACUAGACUGAAAGGCAAUAGAAGCAGGAGUGUGGACAGAUUCAGAUUACUAGUUGAUAAUUAUGGAGAGCUUAUUUCCUACAGAUCAGUAAGUGAUCUGAGAGCAGUUUUGGCAGAAGAUCCGGAAGCCUCCAGGCUUAUGAAUGAUACUGAGGUAACUGAAGUACUUAAUGAAAUUGAACGUGAAUUAGCUCAUGUUGAUCUAGAGGAUCAAGGAGAAAAUCAUAUAAGUGAAACUGAAAGAGAAACCCAUGAUAUUCUCCAAAGACAUUUAUAUGUUUGUAAUCUAUGUAAGAAUCCAACUCCUGAUGGGGCUAUUUGUAAAACCUGUACUGACGCCCUUGAGCAGGAAUUCAAAAAUUAAUACAUUUACAGUUGUUUCAGAAUAUGUUAUUUAAAUUAUUUAUUAAUGUUUUUCAUAGUCAAAUUUGCCCAUUAACUCUCUAACUUGAGAUGUAGACAUAAUUAAAUCUUAUUUUGAAGUCUGAAACAAUUUAAAAUCCUUUAAAUCAACUAUGAUUUUCAAAGAAGGUACUCUAGUCAAACAUUAUGCUACUCAAUACAUAUUAUUUGUGUAAAUGUACAUAAUGUAUAAUAAUAGACCAUAUAUGCAAAAGACUGACCAUAUUUUUGUUAUUAUUGGGUGAAUAAUAAAAUUUAGGUUCUGAAAUUCUGAGAAUGAAAAAUCACUUCCACAAUUAUUUAUAGAAAUAAGGAUGUAUUUUUCAUAUUUACAUUGAAAUUUCUGGAACUGUAUAUUCAAACUGCCACUAGGCUGACUCUCACAAUUACACAAACUGAUGCUAUAAUCAAUUUACUAUCUUCAGAGACUUGUAGCACAUAUUCAGACUUUAAAAACGAUAACUUCGUUAUGAAAACAAUCGGUAGACUGUGUAAUUGUGAAUGCUGGUGUAGCUGACUAGAUUUUCUUGAUGCGCGGUAAUUUUUAAUGUUUCAAUCUAUGUGUUUUAAUCUUUAAAUCUGAUUAUCAAUCUAUUUUUUGUGGAUUUCCUCUAGAUCUAAAUUCUAUUAGUCAUUAAAAAGUAUUUGUUAUGCCCUUGAAUGUAGACAUAAUUUUUACAAAUCCUUAGAAUCUCAAAGUAAUAGAUAUUUUUGUAUGUUUGAAUAUUAUGAAAUAUCAGAAUUUCAGAAUAUAAGUGAUAAAUUGGAUCACUAUUAAUAUUUGUUAAAAAUAGUUGUUUAGAUAAAAAAAAUAAAAUGUAUUUAAUGUCUGUAUGAAUAUUUGUUAUAUGUAGAACUUACAGAAAAAAUUAAUUGCAUAAGAUAUUAAUUCUUCAAAUUCAGAUAUCUAUAGCAAAUUAUAAAUAAUAAUUGAUUGGUUUCAGUAUUCUCAUUUUAUAUUUAAUUUAAAUUAUAUGUGAUAAUCAAUACAAAAUAAAGUUUUUUUAAGUAUGUGCUAUUAUGAAUUAGUUGUUUAUGGUGUAAGAAAUUAAUAGCAAAACUUGCAAACUGGUUAAAUAUUUUAUGUAUGUGUGUAUGUAAGUUGAAAUUUUUGAACCGUUGGUGAUAUUCAUACGAACACACUAUUUAGACUACAGCUACACCAACACUCACAAUUACUAGUAAACUGUACCUUCAGUCUCUAAAUAUGAUAACUUGGUUAUAGAAAUGCGCGCCAAACAGUGUAAUUGUGAGUGUUUGUGUAGUGGUAAGCAAAACAAAGAAAAUGCCAGACAUCUUCCAUCUCUAUUACAAUCGCUCGCAAGUGUCUUUCAUCUCGAUUGUAUAUUUGUGUCACAAAUGAUUAAACAUUGAGUAUGCAUCAGCCUAUAAUAUUGAUUUGGCAUUACUUAUUUUUGCUAAUCUACUUAAUGGUGCAGGUCAUACAAAAGCUACUUUUUUGGAAAUAUUUGUUUGGUAUCCAAUCAAAUUAUAAUAAACAUUGAUAUAUAACUAAUUCACAAUUUGCUUUUGAAGAAUAAGUAAUUUUAAUAUAAAAGCAUGAAUUUUAAUAUGAUACACUUUUAUUAAAGGGAUUGUCUAAAUUAAUAAAAACUAUUGAUGUAGCAAAAACUCUAUUUAUAAAUUAAUAAUAAAUCAAUAUAUAAAUCGACUUAUUACUAAAAUAACUGAAUUAUGGAUCCACAAAUUGUAUGUAAUUGAUAAACUUGUGAAUUUCAAAAUUUAUUGAUAACCAAAUUCCUUUAUAAUAAUUUCUAACAACUCUAAAUACAUUGGUGGAUUCUUAUUCAAGAGAACCUUAAACAACUCUACUAAAUAUUGUGAAAAGGAAGUUAGCUUCGAAAAUCAAUUUGUUAUACUGAAAAUUAUAUUUUAAAAUACAAUUUUCUGUUAGCAACACUCCAAUUGUCCUAAUAACUCCAAAGGUUAGAAUCAUGUGUUUAUUUAUAUGAAUUAUUGAAAUAAAAAUCAAUCAAGUUUUAAAUGGUGAAAAUUAUAGAAAUAUUCAAAAUCUGAUCUGAUUCUCAAAAACGAGAUAAUUGAAUACCUAAUGCAUACUUAAAUCAUGAGAAACCAGAAUUUUUAGUAAAUAAAAUCAAUGCAUCAGCUGAACAUUUUUGCAUAAUUAAAUACAAAGCAAAUAUUAACCUAAUAACUAUCAAUUUCUCAAAUUUCAGAUCUUGCCAUAUUCUAUACUGUUCUUAUCGGACAUGCAAUUAUUGAUCAUAUAUAAUUUUGUUUCUCUUAAGCGGGCCACUCACGAUACUACAGCCUCGUAUGAUUUGAUCGCAUCCAACGAAAUUGAAUACAAUUUCAUCACGUAUGUCCGAUGCUUCAACGAAAUACUAUUUUGACCUCAGUCAGGCAGAUCUGACUGCUGCAGUACAACUCCGUCAAUUGGAUCGAUUUUUUAUUAUCUAACCAGUAAAUUCCUGUUGAAUUGCUUUUUGUCGUGUGUAUAAUUAUUGUGGAAAAUGUCACAUGAAAUUUACAGCGAACAAGAGUUCCUUUAGAAAGUAAAGAGUGAUGUAUGAGAACAAAAUUUUCAAGAAGUAAAUAAAGAAGCUAAUGAAGAUUUUGUGAAAAAGAAAAUUAACAAUUAUCAAUCGUCGUAUAAAAAGGAAAUAAAAUUAGAAAUAAAUUCAAUCAAAUCUGGAAAAGGGACUAAUGAUAUUUAUGAACCAAAGUUAUAGUAUUUUUGAAUUGCUGUCAUUCCUGAAUGUUCAAGAUGUACCCCGGGCAUGUGUUUCUAACCGAUCAGAUGAAGAAAAUAACAGACCCCUUCAUUGUUAAAAUAAGACACAAAUUUUGCGACCUCUAAUGCAGUGUUUCUCAACUGAAUUUACUCCAAGGACCGGUAAAAUAUUUCGGCACGUUCGCGCGGACCGGUAAUAUUAAUAAUUCGACCUAAUGCACAAUUUUUCACAAAGAUAAAUCAUGAAGACAUACAUAAUUUUUAAAGCAUUUUGUUUGUUAUAAUUUACAGUUGUAAGUAUAUUCAACUUACUUAUAAUAUUGCACCAAAACUAAAGUAAUAAAAGCACCAAAACUUAAUUAAAACUCCAAGAAAAUUCCAACAUGAAUGAUAUAUUUAUUUUUUUUAAUUAAUAUAUUAGCCAAAACAACAAUGAGUCGAAAUGUGAACAACGUAAGUAGAUACCAAAUAAGCAAAAAAUAAUUUAUCAAAAUAAAGGAUAUAUAAAAACUAAAAUUAAUGAGUUUGCUGCUGGUCUUUGUUGCUGAAUAAACUGUCAAUUCUAGGCUUUAAACCAGUUACAGCAAUACGUAAAGCAGGCGCAAGAUCAAGUAGAUUUCUAUGUUUCGUCUUAAUAACAGUCAAAGCCGAAAAUGUAGUUUCACAUAGAUAAGUUUAGGAAAAAGGCAAUAAAAUCUUCAACGCCUUUGCAUGAAGAUUGGGGUAUUCUGUUGCAGUCUUUAUCCAGAAUUGAUAUAUAUUUAUUGAAUUGAAUAGUGAUUUAAGUCCUAGAUCUGAAGACAGUUCAAUAAGUUCUGUUUCCUGGACUGUAGUGAGAUUGUUAUCAAAAUUAUAAAUAAAUGGAUUGAUUAUCCACAGAUUACCUGAACGUACAUUUUCUUCUGGGGGAUAAUACUGAUCAAAAGAUAUUGAUAGUUCUUUUAAAUGCUCCAAAAUAACGCUGAUAAAGCUCUUCUGAUCCAUGUCAGUAGUAUUAAUGUAAUCAAAGAAAAAAGCAAACAUAUCAUAAGUGUUUUCUUCCGCACGUUUAUACUAGAGUUUCAAUUUCUUUUUGAAAGCAUCCAUUUUAUUGUAGAAGUUGAAAAUUGUAUUAGUUUUACUUUGAAGACUUAAAUUUAGUUCAUUUACCAGUGAAAAUAUGUCUGAUAGGUACGAAAGCAAGGCUACCCAUUCUUUGCUCUGAAAAUGUCUGCUCAAGAAUGAUCCCUUUUGAUUUAAAAACAAUUGUACCUCAUUUCUUAAUACUUCGUACUUCGACGUGUAACAAUAGUUGUACAUGCUCUGAUCCCACUUCUUGACAUAAAGUUGUAAACAAUCUUGAAUUAAGUGCGUUACUUCUGAUUUUCUUCCAACAUUUUGGUCUGACGUGAGUGUGUGCUCGCCCAAUUUUCAAUCAAAUUGUACAACACCGUCAUACGACUAACAAUGCAAACGAUACAUCGAUGUUUGUAAAACAUCGAGGUAUCGUUCAUAAACAUCGAUGUUUUGGUGAACGAUAUAUCGUCGAUACAUCGUUCGUUUCAUUCACAAACAUCAACAUCGCUCUUCAGUCUGUUCCGACUGUUCCAUGGUCUUGCAUACAGGUCUGGAAACGAAGGUGGUAGGGGACGAAC